This 28-nucleotide non-coding RNA is filed under the name Mus musculus (house mouse). The record is from RNAcentral. Lineage: Eukaryota; Metazoa; Chordata; Mammalia; Rodentia; Muridae.
UGCGAAGCGUGCACACUAGGCCAUGGAU